Molecule: long non-coding RNA, 429 nt
Organism: Phyllostomus discolor (pale spear-nosed bat)
Lineage: Eukaryota; Metazoa; Chordata; Mammalia; Chiroptera; Phyllostomidae
Exons: 3
Source: RefSeq, a predicted model, not a curated record
UAAACUUGGAGACACAGAGCCAGCUCCAAAUCUCUGGAGACAGCAGAUGGGGCACAAGUUUAGGAGGAAUCAGAGGCCCGUCUCCUGGACCCUAACGUGUGCUCUGCUACAGGCUGCUGCCCAGCGGGGCACCCUUGCAACAGGAAGCGGUCAUGCGCAGUUCGAGCGCCCAUGAGCCAUGGAGCCAGCAUGGGCACACUGGUUCCCUAAUGACCUCUGCUGAACAUCCUUUCAGCUGCUUGGCUGCCGACUUGUAUUUUCUUUGGUGAGGUGUCAUUUUAAAUACUAUGCCCAUUUUUAAGAGGGUAGGUUGUUUUCAUUUUUGAAAUAUUUACUUUUCAACUUGUUGACGUACAUUAUAUUGGUUCCAGGUAUACAACCCAGUGAUUAGACAUUCACGUAACUUGCAGAGUGAUCACCUUGGUAAAU